RNAcentral lists this ribosomal RNA (204 nucleotides) under Escherichia coli. RNAcentral describes it as "partial 23S ribosomal RNA". It matches the Rfam family "Bacterial large subunit ribosomal RNA", at positions 2739 to 2925 of the family's 2925-position model. The record is from RNAcentral. Lineage: Bacteria; Pseudomonadati; Pseudomonadota; Gammaproteobacteria; Enterobacterales; Enterobacteriaceae. RNAcentral also lists the same sequence under 14 other names.
UGCCCGGUAGCUAAAUGCGGAAGAGAUAAGUGCUGAAAGCAUCUAAGCACGAAACUUGCCCCGAGAUGAGUUCUCCCUGAGACUUAGAGUCUCCUGAAGGAACGUUGAAGACGACGACGUUGAUAGGCCGGGUGUGUAAGCGCAGCGAUGCGUUGAGCUAACCGGUACUAAUGAACCGUGAGGCUUAACCUUACAACGCCGAAG